AGAGUUUGAUCAUGGCUCAGGAUGAACGCUAGCUACAGGCUUAACACAUGCAAGUCGAGGGGAAACGAUAUUGGAAGCUUGAAAAAAAAAACUUCCGAUAGGCGUCGACCGGCGCACGGGUGAGUAACGCGUAUCCAACCUGCCCACCACUUGGGGAUAACCUUGCGAAAGUAAGACUAAUACCCAAUGAUAUCUCUAGAAGACAUCUGAAAGAGAUUAAAGAUUUAUCGGUGAUGGAUGGGGAUGCGUCUGAUUAGCUUGUUGGCGGGGUAACGGCCCACCAAGGCGACGAUCAGUAGGGGUUCUGAGAGGAAGGUCCCCCACAUUGGAACUGAGACACGGUCCAAACUCCUACGGGAGGCAGCA
Molecule: ribosomal RNA, 366 nt
Filed under: uncultured bacterium
Lineage: Bacteria
Description: bacterial SSU rRNA
Rfam family: Bacterial small subunit ribosomal RNA
Source: RNAcentral